GAUGAACGCUGGCGGCGUGCCUAAUACAUGCAAGUCGAGCGAACAGACGAGGAGCUUGCUCCUCUGACGUUAGCGGCGGACGGGUGAGUAACACGUGGAUAACCUACCUAUAAGACUGGGAUAACUUCGGGAAACCGGAGCUAAUACCGGAUAAUAUAUUGAACCGCAUGGUUCAAUAGUGAAAGACGGUUUUGCUGUCACUUAUAGAUGGAUCCGCGCCGUAUUAGCUGGUUGGUAAGGUAACGGCUUAGCAAGGCUACGAUGCGUAGGCGACCGGAGAGGGUGAUCGGCCACCCUGGAGCUGAGACACGGUCCAGACUACUACGGGAGGCAGCAGUAGGGAAUCUUCCGCAAUGGGCGAGAGCUUGACGGAGCAACGCCGCGUGAGUGAUGAAGGUCUUCGGAUCGUAAAACUCUGUUAUUAGGGAAGAACAAAUGUGUAAGUAACUAUGCACGUAUUGACGGUACCUAAUAAGAAAGCCACGGCUAACUACGUG
Molecule: ribosomal RNA, 497 nt
Filed under: uncultured bacterium
Lineage: Bacteria
Description: partial 16S ribosomal RNA
Rfam family: Bacterial small subunit ribosomal RNA
Source: RNAcentral